Molecule: transfer RNA, 73 nt
Filed under: Paramuricea clavata
Lineage: Eukaryota; Metazoa; Cnidaria; Anthozoa; Malacalcyonacea; Plexauridae
Rfam family: tRNA
About the family: Transfer RNA (tRNA) molecules are approximately 80 nucleotides in length. Their secondary structure includes four short double-helical elements and three loops (D, anti-codon, and T loops). Further hydrogen bonds mediate the characteristic L-shaped molecular structure. tRNAs have two regions of fundamental functional importance: the anti-codon, which is responsible for specific mRNA codon recognition, and the 3' end, to which the tRNAs corresponding amino acid is attached (by aminoacyl-tRNA synthetases). tRNAs cope with the degeneracy of the genetic code in two manners: having more than one tRNA (with a specific anti-codon) for a particular amino acid; and 'wobble' base-pairing, i.e. permitting non-standard base-pairing at the 3rd anti-codon position.
Source: Rfam by way of RNAcentral
GCCCGGUUAGCUCAGUUGGUAGAGCAUCAGACUUUUCAUCUGAGGGCCAUGGGUUCGAGUCCCAUAUCGGGCU